GACGAACGCUGGCGGCGUGCUUAACACAUGCAAGUCGAACGGAAAGGCCCCUUUGGGGGUACUCGAGUGGCGAACGGGUGAGUAACACGUGAGUAACCUGCCCUUGACUUCGGGAUAACUUCAGGAAACUGGGGCUAAUACCGGAUAGGCAUCCUUGCUGCAUGGUGGGGGUUGGAAAUCUUCGGCUGUUUUGGAUGGACUCGCGGCUUAUCCGCUUGUUGGUGGGGUAGUGGCUUACCAAGGCUUUGACGGGUAGCCGGCCUGAGAGGGCGACCGGCCACAUUGGGACUGAGAUACGGCCCAGAAUCCUACGGGAGGCAGCAGUGGGGAAUAUUGCACAAUGGGCGGAAGCCUGAUGCAGCAACGCCGCGUGCGGGAUGACGGCCUUCGGGUUGUAAACCGCUUUCAGCAGGGGCGAAGCUUGUGGUGACGGUACCUGCAGAAGAAGCACCGGCUAACUACGUG
This 465-nucleotide ribosomal RNA is filed under the name uncultured bacterium. RNAcentral's name for it is "partial 16S ribosomal RNA". It matches the Rfam family "Bacterial small subunit ribosomal RNA", at positions 28 to 507 of the family's 1533-position model. The record is from RNAcentral.